Molecule: ribosomal RNA, 999 nt
Filed under: uncultured bacterium
Lineage: Bacteria
Description: bacterial SSU rRNA
Rfam family: Bacterial small subunit ribosomal RNA
Source: RNAcentral
UGGGGAAUAUUGCACAAUGGGGGAAACCCUGAUGCAGCGACGCCGCGUGAGUGAUGAAGUAUUUCGGUAUGUAAAGCUCUAUCAGCAGGGAAGAUAAUGACGGUACCUGACUAAGAAGCACCGGCUAAAUACGUGCCAGCAGCCGCGGUAAUACGUAUGGUGCAAGCGUUAUCCGGAUUUACUGGGUGUAAAGGGAGCGCAGGCGGACCGGCAAGUUGGAAGUGAAAACUAUGGGCUCAACCCAUAAAUUGCUUUCAAAACUGCUGGCCUCGAGUAGUGCAGAGGUAGGUGGAAUUCCCGGUGUAGCGGUGGAAUGCGUAGAUAUCGGGAGGAACACCAGUGGCGAAGGCGACCUACUGGGCACCAACUGACGCUGAGGCUCGAAAGCAUGGGUAGCAAACAGGAUUAGAUACCCUGGUAGUCCAUGCCGUAAACGAUGAUUACUAGGUGUUGGAGGAUUGACCCCUUCAGUGCCGCAGUUAACACAAUAAGUAUUCCACCUGGGGAGUACGAUCGCAAGGUUGAAACUCAAAGGAAUUGACGGGGGCCCGCACAAGCGGUGGAUUAUGUGGUUUAAUUCGAAGCAACGCGAAGAACCUUACCAGGGUUUGACAUCCUGCUAACGAAGUAGAGAUACAUUAGGUGCCCUUCGGGGAAAGCAGAGACAGGUGGUGCAUGGUUGUCGUCAGCUCGUGUCGUGAGAUGUUGGGUUAAGUCCCGCAACGAGCGCAACCCCUAUUGUUAGUUGCUACGCAAGAGCACUCUAGCGAGACUGCCGUUGACAAAACGGAGGAAGGUGGGGACGACGUCAAAUCAUCAUGCCCCUUAUAUCCUGGGCUACACACGUAAUACAAUGGCGGUCAACAGAGGGAAGCAAAGCCGCGAGGCAGAGCAAACCCCCAAAAGCCGUCCCAGUUCGGAUUGUAGGCUGCAACUCGCCUGCAUGAAGUCGGAAUCGCUAGUAAUCGCGGAUCAGCAUGCCGCGGUGAAUACGUUCCC